GAUGAACGCUGGCGGCGUGCCUAACACAUGCAAGUCGAACGGAAAGGCCCUGCUUUUGUGGGGCGCUCGAGUGGCGAACGGGUGAGUGACACGCGAGUAACCUGCCCUUGUCUUUGGGAUAACUUCAGGAAACUGGGGCUAAUACCGGAUAGGAGCUCCUGCUGCAUGGUGGGGGAUGGAAAGUUUCGGCGGUUGGGGAUGGAUUCGCGGCUUAUCCGCUUGUUGGUCGGGUAGUGGCUUACGAAGGCUUCGACGGGUAGCCGGCCUGAGAGGGUGACCGGCCACAUGGGGACUGAGGUACGGACCAGACUCCUACGGUAGGCAGCAGUGGGGAAUAUGACGCAGUGAGCGGAAGCGUGUGGCAGAGACGCCGCGUGCGGGAUGACGGCCUUCGGGUUGUAAACCGCUUUCGCCUGUGACGAAGCGUGAGUGACGGUAACGGAUAAAGAAGCACCGGCUAACUACGUG
RNAcentral lists this ribosomal RNA (468 nucleotides) under uncultured bacterium. RNAcentral's name for it is "partial 16S ribosomal RNA". It matches the Rfam family "Bacterial small subunit ribosomal RNA", at positions 28 to 507 of the family's 1533-position model. The record is from RNAcentral.